UAGGAGCAUGACAGUUAAAAAAAGCAUGGUUUUCAUUGGUUCAUAUAUGUGUUAAUAUAUGUGUGACCUUCCAUAGGAGUUCACGUGCAUAUGUAAUAAGCUAAAUAUGUGUCUGUGGUUUUCAUUGGUUAAUGUGAGUGACCUAUCAUCAGAGGUCACUUGCAUGUGUAAUCAGCCGAAUAGUACGCUACAUAAUCUCACAUAUGAGAGCUGAAUAUGUUGGAUUAAGUUUUUGUUCUAUACUUUAGGUGUUUAUUCCAAGUUACCACCUUGUUAUUGUAACCAGAUAUCCACACCAUUCUUGGAUUCUAAAGUAAUGCAUUUAUGAAAACAGUUAGCCUAUAUAGCCUUCACCUUCAUCGAACACGGCGGGAUAACUGGUUGCAGUUAUCGUUCGCGUAGUAUCGCUGGAAGCACAUGCGUCUCUCCGGCUCACCUGCAAAUCAAAUUUCUAGCGUAGCGUCUAGACACUUUGCCUUCUAAAGAGUUGGAUUCGUUUUGUUGGAUGUUGUUGUAUGCUGUUCUUGUUUGUUACUGUAACUUAUUUUGCAUACUAUUAUUCUUUUCAGCAACUGUUUUCUGCGUUUUCUCUCUCGUUCCAGGUCAGGACACUUUACAUCUACAACGCAGUAAUGGCGAGUGGCAUUGUCUCUGUUAGCGGACAUCCUACGACACGGCCAGAGCUUGGUGGACCAAGUACUCUUUCAACUGUUUUGAUUGGACCAUCUUGAGAUCCUGUAUUGGAGACUCUAAAUAAAUGUAACAGAGCCAUGCUUUUCUCUGCUAUGAUGGAUUCAGACCUUUUUAACAGCGGCUUUGUCUCCAAAACCCGUAGACAACUCCCUGAAAUGGAAAGAAAAGUCUUAGACCUAGCUGCGGCCACAGAUAUUGUACAGGCAUUUUCUACUCCAUUGCCUUUACACAGGGAAGUCAGAUGUUUGUGUCCUAUUUUAAAAGUGGGUGCUUCUCUGGAAUCAGGCCAUCCAUUUCCAAUGUUCUUCAGGAAUCGGAUUCAACAGUCACUCAACUUUUACCAUAUAGAAUACUCACCCACAAAGACUUGAACAAGAAAGUUCUACAGCAGCAAAAGGCAGCACUCUCUCGAAGCAAAAGCCAUGUGAAACAGAAUGGGCAUACUGAUGGACCCAAGAGACAAUGCUACAGCCAGUAUUUCAACAGCAGAUGGAGUAUAUGCAAAGUAGUGUUUGAUAAGUUGUCCAUUCUUGCACAGUCUGAAGACAUAUCCAACAAGCUUCAGGUAUCAUCUGUGAUUUUCAACUGUGUCAAGAAGAAUGCAGAUGAAAAUCACAUCCAUGAUAGGCCUCUACACAUAUUUGGGCUUCAUGACACUGAUACACUUUUGCAAGUUCUAAAGGAUCACAGAAUCCAUGGAAACCACGUUGUAGAUGACCCUGUGGACUUCAGCAGCUUGAAAAAAGAAAUAAAACCAAAAAGUGUUGAAGAAGAGUUCCACAUUUUGUCAUCAGUAUCAAACUAUCACUGGGACAAUGACCAAAAAGCGAGCUACAUGCAGUACUUUUCUACAUACAAUGAAGACACAAGGAAGUACCCUACCUCUUUAAGAAAUAAAAUCAUAUUUCACUUCUGAAUUGGAUGUCAAGAAAAGUAUAGACAAAGUGUGAAGAUGCUUUCUGCUCAACAUGCUCAGGGAAACAGUGAAAACUGCACUCACUCAUCAUCGCUGUUUGACAACUUCUCAACACGUCUCAUUGAAGGUGGCACUAUUCUCUGGCAGUCUCAUUCCUUUACAAAGGAUGUGUUGAUUAUGAGUGACUAUUGUCCUGAAAGUGGAAAGUUCAAGCCCCAGUCAUACUGCAAAGUGACAAUGCUUCAUGAGGAGGAGGAUACAACACAUGUCCAGUGUUCUUGUUCUGUUUACAAGAUGUCAUGUUAAUGAAAGUUACAUUGAAAAUGACAGCACAGAAGAAACAUCUAGACACAUCAGGUGUUACAUGCAUGCAUGCCCGAUUUGUGAAAGAGUAUUUACUGCAAGAUUAUCACAAUCUCUUCAAUUCAGAAUUUCAACCUGAAUCUGACAAAGAUAAAAAGUUAAGGGAUUCAAUGUUAGUGCAAAAUCAGGAAAUAGUGCUGGUUGCAGAAUCUCCUCGUGUAACCAAAUAUACAGUCAAAGGAAGAAAUGAAAGUGUUGAAUUUGUACAUGUCAACAAUAAUACCUGGACUAUUUCAUGUCAAUCAGGACUUUGUUCUGUUGGAAAAUCUAAAACUGUAAAGAACUUAGAGGGAUCCCAAAGGAUCUGUCCACAUUUAUUGUCAAUGAAAGAAAACCAACAACUCUGGAUUCCUUCACAUCAACUGAGAGCACUUCUACCCCGGUACAUUCACUGAAAAGUCAAACUUCAAUGUCGACACUGGCUUCUGGGACUUUGGAUCACUGAGUAAACAUAUUCCAACUCCUCAGAGUUGCCCAAAAUAUAGGGAAAAUAUCCACUUGCAUGAAAAAUGGUGCUUUCAGCACCAAACAGAUGAAUCUGGUUUUGUCAGUAUUACCUUGCUUUGUCCUGCACUACCAGAAAACUGUUCAUGUGGGUGCACCUUCCAUGAUGUACAAACACCAGAUGGCAUUAACCUACUACAGCAGCACAGCACGAAAACAACUUUACACCCGACUAGCCCCUAUUAUGGCAACUGUUUGCUGUGUCAUACAGAGGAAGAGGACAGUAUUCAUUUUUGGAGGAAGAAACCACCAUUGUUGAUGAACUGUCAUGACUUUUUGUAUAGAAUUACAAGCUUUUCAAGUGACAGUGUCACAUUCACUGGUUACUGCAAAGAAAUGGAUCGUAUGUACAAGUCAAGACACAAUGAAUCCAGUUUUAUGUCUCAGAGUACAUUUAACAACUGUUUUUUUCUCCUGGGCAGCUAAUAUGAAGAUUGACUUCAGGAAGAUUGGAGAUCCAUUCUGUAAAUCUUCCGAAGUACUUGCAUGUGAUGGAACCAGUCAGUUUUAGAGAUGUCAAACUUAUUCGGCCCGAAAUACAUAAUCUUUUGCAGAGUUCUUACACAUCACAAUUUGCAGCUGAAAUACAUGUACAUUAUUUCAUAGUGUACCUUGCAGACUAUGCAAAGAACUUGCUUACACAUUUACCUGCUUACCAGGAUGCACAUAGCAUCCCUAAAUCUUACAAUCCAGAAAGUGGCGUGGCAUAUCGUUUUACCGAAAGUGGAGAACAGGUUAGAAAACUCCCUAUCUACAACAUAAACAAGAUCAGCAAAACUAAAAUUUAUGAUGACCUACCAGCAGCAGAUGAAAGAUGUAACAAAGACUUCCCUAGAGUCAGCACAAGUGGACACAGUAGUUUGUUUUUCUGGUUUUUACCCAUUCAUGGUCAUUGUCUUGGGUUCCACAUAAUUCCUGAAAGCGAAGGCAGAAAAGAUCCAUUUGCUUCCAUGUUCAGGUACCUGCCUGAACCACUGACACAUGUACUUUAUGACUUUGCUUGUUCACUUUCUGAAUACUGCUUGAAUAGAGAACCUUCAUUCUUUAAAGACACUUGAUUCUUCCAUGAUUAUUUCCAUGGUUGUACGCAUGUAUGUGGCGACGCUUUCAAGUCUUCAGUGUUUGAAAAUGUGGGUGUCAACACGGAAAUCUGUGAGCAGUUCAAUUCGUUCCUUACAAAAUAUCAAAGCAACUUCAACUCAUUUGAGCCAGAGCAAGUUUUGUUUUCUUCUCCUUCUGGAGCAAUCAAAAUGGAAUUAGAGAAAAACCGAAAUGUUUUAUCAACGAUUGCAAGUUGCUUUAGAUGGUUCAAAGUAAAAUGUGAUGAAUAGUACUCACUAACAUCAAUGUUGCAUGAUACCGGUGAUGUAGGACUGGUUUUAGGACUGUAUAUUAACGUCGUUCAAGCCCAACUAGGUUACUCAGUGCAUGAGAGGUUUUUCUAGGUACUCAGAUGUUUCAAAUCAAACUGACACUUUGUUCUGUAAUACUCUGCUGUAGAUAUAUGAUAUUUUUCCAGUUAUAUCUAUGUUGUCAUACUGCUUUCCUCAAACUUUUUACAUUUAUGGUUUAUUUUGUUGUAGUUUGAACAGUGAAAUGAGUCAUACAUAGAUUUGUUUAUUUGCUUUAAUGUUAGUCUUAAUAAAAAGAUAAAACUUA
Molecule: long non-coding RNA, 4135 nt
Filed under: Haliotis rufescens (red abalone)
Lineage: Eukaryota; Metazoa; Mollusca; Gastropoda; Lepetellida; Haliotidae
Description: uncharacterized LOC124118613
Source: RNAcentral